Molecule: ribosomal RNA, 253 nt
Filed under: uncultured bacterium
Lineage: Bacteria
Description: partial 16S ribosomal RNA
Rfam family: Bacterial small subunit ribosomal RNA
Source: RNAcentral
UACGUAGGUGGCAAGCGUUGUCCGGAAUUACUGGGUGUAAAGGGAGCGCAGGCGGGAAGCCAAGUCAGCUGUGAAAACUACGGGCUUAACUUGUAGACUGCAGUUGAAACUGGUUUUCUUGAGUGAAGUAGAGGUUGGCGGAAUUCCGAGUGUAGCGGUGAAAAGCGUAGAUAUUCGGAGGAACACCGGUGGCGAAGGCGGCCAACUGGGCUUUAACUGACGCUGAGGCUCGAAAGUGUGGGGAGCAAACAGG